Non-coding RNA from Pangasianodon gigas (Mekong giant catfish), 73 nucleotides. NCBI's taxonomy places the organism in Eukaryota, Metazoa, Chordata, Actinopteri, Siluriformes, Pangasiidae. The record is from the annotation of a GenBank genome assembly.
GGCACGGUGGCUUAGUGGUUAGCGUGUUUACCUUGCACCGACAGGGUAGGGGGCUCGAAUCCCACCUCCACCC